This 373-nucleotide ribosomal RNA is filed under the name uncultured bacterium. Its description in RNAcentral is "bacterial SSU rRNA". It matches the Rfam family "Bacterial small subunit ribosomal RNA", at positions 525 to 896 of the family's 1533-position model. The record is from RNAcentral.
ACAGAGGUCCCAAGCGUUACUGAGAUUCACUGGGUUUAAAGGGUGCGUAGGUGGCGCGUUAAGUCAGUUGUGAAAUCCCCGGGCUCAACUCGGGAAUUGCUUCUGAUACUGGCGUGCUUGAGGCCGGUAUGGGUUACUGGAACAGACGGUGGAGCGGUGAAAUGCGUAGAUAUCGUCUGGAACGCCAGUGGUGAAGACGGGUAACUGGGCCGGUUCUGACACUGAGGCACGAAAGCGUGGGGAGCGAACGGGAUUAGAUACCCCGGUAGUCCACGCCCUAAACGAUGCAGACUAGAUUGCAGCAGGUCUGACCCUGUUGCGGUCGAAGCAAAAGUGUUAAGUCUGCCGCCUGGGAAGUACGGUCGCAAGGCUA